This 512-nucleotide small RNA is filed under the name Pan troglodytes (chimpanzee). Its description in RNAcentral is "retained intron". The record is from RNAcentral. Lineage: Eukaryota; Metazoa; Chordata; Mammalia; Primates; Hominidae.
GGCCUUCAGGCUGGGGCUGCGGGCCAGGCCAGGCAUUUGCCACUCUGUUUCCCUCUCUUUCCUUGUGCCCCAGGUCUCUGACAUCCUCCGAUACUUAUUUCCCGUGCCCAAAGAUGACAGCCACCGGGUCAUUACCUUCGCAAACCAGGACGACUACAUAUCAUUCCGGCACCACGUGUACAAGAAGACAGACCACCGCAACGUGGAGCUCACUGAGGUCGGGCCCCGCUUUGAGCUGAAGCUGUACAUGAUCCGUCUGGGCACGCUGGAGCAGGAGGCCACAGCAGACGUGGAGUGGCGCUGGCACCCUUACACCAAUACCGCACGCAAGAGGGUCUUCCUGAGCGCCGAGUGAGCACACUCACCACUCAGUCAGGACAUGGACUUGGAACUCAGGAUGGGGCUGUCAUAGACAGACCCACCAGUAGGAACUGUCACAGAAUGGCCUGCUGAACUGGGAUGCGGAACUGUGGCGGGUGGAGAGGUCUGAAUAAACCGUCUGUGUCAUGGCC